CCGCCUACGGGGGGCAGCAGUGGGGAAUAUUGCACAAUGGGGGAAACCCUGAUGCAGCGACGCCGCGUGAGCGAUGAAGUAUUUCGGUAUGUAAAGCUCUAUCAGCAGGGAAGAAAAUGACGGUACCUGACUAAGAAGCCCCGGCUAACUACGUGCCAGCAGCCGCGGUAAUACGUAGGGGGCAAGCGUUAUCCGGAUUUACUGGGUGUAAAGGGAGCGUAGACGGCGGUGCAAGCCAGAUGUGAAAGCCCGGGGCUCAACCCCGGGACUGCUCUUGGAACUGCGUGGCUAGAGGGCAGGAGGGG
RNAcentral lists this ribosomal RNA (305 nucleotides) under uncultured bacterium. RNAcentral describes it as "bacterial SSU rRNA". It matches the Rfam family "Bacterial small subunit ribosomal RNA", at positions 335 to 657 of the family's 1533-position model. The record is from RNAcentral.